Molecule: long non-coding RNA, 1190 nt
Organism: Nematostella vectensis (starlet sea anemone)
Lineage: Eukaryota; Metazoa; Cnidaria; Anthozoa; Actiniaria; Edwardsiidae
Exons: 2
Source: RefSeq, a predicted model, not a curated record
AUGGUCUAACCUACCAAAUGCUUAUCGCCUUGUGACAAAGAGUAGAUUUAAUUCAAAACGACAUAAAUUAGACAUAAUUUUAAAUUCUUUUAUUUAGUUUACAUAAUCUAAGAGAUAACUACAGGAUAAGCUGGCUUUUCAAAAGAACCUUAUCAAAAAAAUUAAUGCACUAGUCAAUUGAAACCACCAGGGAAGGGUGGGGGAUUAGACUUUGAUCCUGUAGAAAACAGAGAAAAGCUCCCACCCCCUCGGGGAAAAACUGCAGUCAAAUGCCCCUUCCCCUCAGGAUGCAAACUAUAGGAAACUACCUGGCAUUUGAGAUAACAAGUCAUCUUAAAUGUCUUUCAAAGCAAGUACACUUAACUGAGUACAUUUGUACCAAUAACAAUUAAGAUAACCAUUACUAAAAAAUGGAAAAAUAAAUAAUCUUCAUUUUGCAUUAGUUAUCACUCAUAUUUGUUUUCACACAUAUUGUCGUGCAGCUUGACAUAGUCUAAUACACAGAACUGCUUGCUACAGAAGAAAGUCUCAAAUCAGAAACUGACUUGACUUUUGCAAUGUACAUUUGUGAGGCUAUUAAUUUGUCCCAAAACCCCCAGGCUGGGGACAAACCUUAGAGUAAAAAACUGUCAAUUCCCCCACCCCUCCGGAUAAAUUUUUGUUAAAAAGUGCUCUAAACCCCCACUUUAACCCCCCACUUCCCCGGGACCACGGGGGUGGGGGUUUCAAAUGACAAAGUGCAUAAUUAAAAAUGUUAAUUUACUUGAAAGAUCACUCAAAUAUUGAUUGGUAAAAUUUUUUUGAUAUAACUUCUGUGAAACCUAUAGAAUUUAAGGUACAAUACAACUCUUGCACAUUUAUAUAUAUUGUUCGAGAAAUUCUUUCAAACAGCUCCGGAAGAACUUUCUGGAUCCAAUGUACGAAAGCUGAUGAAACUCUGAGUAGGAUUUUGUGCGAUUUCGGUUUGCAGGGACACUAUCCAAAAACCUCAAACGCACCGAUACGGAGGGUACAAAAUGCAGGUCGGGUGAUUUUAUAGUUUUUGUAGCUACUGCGCAUGUUCGAGUAGAUGCUAUGUCAUCACGUCGGAAAAAAUCAAAAAGAAAAAAGUAAGAUUUGCCGCGGUGUUUGCUGGGAAAAUUUGACUUCGGGAUAUGAUCGUUACGAAGCGCCAGCCUAGAAUCACUUUA